This 28-nucleotide non-coding RNA is filed under the name Mus musculus (house mouse). Lineage: Eukaryota; Metazoa; Chordata; Mammalia; Rodentia; Muridae. The record is from RNAcentral.
UGGCAAACUUUGGAGAUUUCGAGUGUCC